CUUUUUGCCUUUUCUAGGGCCGAUCCCGCAGCACAUGGAGGUUCCCAAGCUAGGGGUCUGAUUGGAGCUGUAGCUGGCAGCCUACGCCAGAGCCACAGCAACGGGGGAUCCGAGCCGUGCCUGCAAUCUACACCACAGCUCAGGGCAAUGCCAGAUCCUUAACCCACUAAACAAGGCCAGGGAUCAAACCCACAACCUUAUGGUUCCUAGUCGGAUUCAUUAACCACUGCGCCAUGACGGGAACUAGAUAGUACCCUUCUAAUUGUAAUAAUUCUCAUGCAGGUUCCCCCCCCACACACACACACCUCAACAUCCAGCAUAAUCUUCUCCAUUACUCAAGGGGCGUGGGGCUUGGAAAUGGCUGGUGGGUACCUGGCAUCUGGGGAGAUGAACAGCAGGAGAAGUGAGUUGUCAGGUAGAUGUGAAAGUGGAAGUUUGAGCCACUACGGGAUCUUAGAGUCCACGAUUGGUUUUGCUGGGUUUGUGACUUCAUGAUUAGACUUUGCAGCUAGGGGAGGAGACCAGACCCUCUGCAUGUAGCCUGAGCACCUAGAUGGCGCUGCCUCCUCUCCCUUAAGAACCAAGCCCUUGGGUAUCUGUUCUGCCCAGAUGUCUCUUUACGGAAUAUUUGGAAUUGUAAGGCCCAGGUCUUUCAAUAGGUUCCUGAUGCCAUAAUUUAUAGAUUUCAUUGCCCCAAAGAUGACUGUUUGCAAAGCAGCUCUGAGCCUUUACAGAUCCUGAAGAAACUCUUUCAUCUGAGCAUGGUUCCCCUGAAGGAUACUGUGGGUAGUCAGAAUAGACCAAAGUUUGGAAGGUCUGGCAUUGAUUUCGGUCUCCUUGCCCUUUUCCAGAAUUCUCUCCUGAAAGAGUCAGUCCUCUGAAAACCCAGAAUCUCUCUUCAGUCCACAUGCAGAUUGAGCUCCAGGCUGUUCCCCCUACUCUGCAAGUGGGAGUGAAAAGCAACUAUAAUCCCUAUCUUCUUUGCCAGUGCCCUCUCAGACAAGCCUAUUAUAGAUUUCUAGAACAUUUCUGCAUUCCUGUGGAAUUCAUUCCAUCAUUUCGGAAUAAUACAGAGAUACCAUUUGGUCAUUUAAAUCUGUCUCCCCCCUCCAGGCACAGAUAGAGAUCUGCCCAUCACUGCUGGUAAAACCUGACUUAAAAAGAGGUUAGCUGGUGAAUUAAUGGCAAGAAUGCAUGGAGUCACAUGCUUUCAAACCAAUUAGCAAUACAGAUGAGCUAGCAAGUCAAGUUCCAUUUAUAGGGUGGGGGAGGGGAGAAGUCAAAUAAUCUGUGUUUUUAAGUGUUUCUGAGAAAUGAAGACCUCCAGGGCAGAGAGAAGGCGGAUCAGGAAAUAGCUAUGCAAAUCGCAUGCCUGUGAAAUUACUAAAACUUUGAUCAGAGGCAUUAACAAUGGCUCCAGUACUCACAAGUAUGAAAUAAGGAGUGAGUAAGGCAGGGCAUGUUUGGAAGGGAUUUCAAAAGUGUUUACUUCCAUGGUUUGUUGAGCAGUCAAUGAAGUCCACGGCUAUUUUAGACUGAAGUUGCCCGAGCAGUCCAGGUAUGACAAAUGUAGUAAUACAUUCCAUUCUCAUUAGUGACUCUUGGGGAUCUCAGUGACACAGAGUCAAAAUGACUGGACCUCAUAUAAAGCCUGCCUUUUUUUUUUUUUUCCACCCUCUUUCUAAGGACACUACUGCUCACCCUUCCACCAGCUGUAGGAGAAGGCCUGGAUUCUGAGAGAGGGUAGUUCCCUGGAAAUGCUAAAUUGCUAUUAGUAUUCAGUGGGAUUCAGGCAACAUUAAGGUAUGACUUGGGCUAAAGCAAACAGGGAAACUCCAAGCGGCCAUGAUGUCGCAGCUGGCAAGUGUGACACUUCACACCCCUGGGUCCCUGUUCAGGGCUGUCUGGUCUUGAGGGUAUUUGAGGCUCUCAUCUCAGUUCCCAACUCUGGACUCAUUUUUUUUUUUUUUUUUUUUUUUUUUUAAACGGCAUAUGGAAGUUCCCAGGCUAGGGGUCAAAUAGGAGCUGUGGUUGCUGGCCUAUACCACAGCCACAGCAGCUCAGGAUCCAAGCCAUAUCUGCAACCACAGCUCAUGGCAAUGCCGGAUCCUUAAUCCACUGAGUGAGGCCAGGGAAUCAAACCCAUGUCCUCAUGGAUACUAGUCAGGCUCCUUACUGCUGAGCCACAACGGGAACUCCCUGCUUGUCCAUCCUAAAUGGAAUGUUUGCAUCUAACCCCCAACUCCCAGUCCAUCCCACUCCCUUCCCUCACCCCCUUGGCAACCACCAGUCUGUUCUUUAUGUCUGUGUAGACUCAUAUUUUUAAUGCCUUUAUUUGAGAAAAAAAUAUUACACUUAAAAAGGAAACUGUCAGAAUAAUUUUUUUAAAAAUGGUAAUACUCUUGUAUCCUUUUUUUUUUUCUCCCUAACCGUGCCUAUUGCUUUAAAUUCAUCAUUUAAGUUAGAAAGUUCCCCCAAGAUAGAGUUGUGCUUCUUAGUGGUCCAGUGUGUUCAUAUCUCAGAAGCAACAGUUGCUUCUCAAACAUUUCUAUUGGGUGUGGAAAAUUAUUUAUAGGAGAACAGAAUAAAAGUAAACUUUUUAUGAUGUUCUUAAAGGUAUAUAUAAUUAAUGCUUUGUGAAUUCAUGGGCAGAUUCAAGCAGUUAUCAGAUUCUGAGUACCAGGAGCUGCAGUUUUCUGGCCCCACUCUGUUCGGUGUGGAGUAUAUGGAAUAUAACUGUGGAUUGGAAUUAAAAUUUUCAGGGAAUCAUUUAUAAAUUUAAAAGAAAAAAUGUUGGCUUUAAGUUAAAGCCACAAUGAGAGCUGAGAGCUUCUGUUUUUCUUUUCCUUUUUCCCCAAGUAUUUGAAAACUGAAAUUCUGUAAGAGAUUAUCUGUGAAAAUGCCUUUCUUUUAUUACACCCAUAAAUUUCAGGAGUGGCUUUGAUCAAGCCUUCUGCCAUUCUCGGUUUCUAAAUCUUUUACUCAUACGUUAAUAACUUUAAAAACACUCAUCCUAUUUUUGUUGUAGUGAAAGAGGAAGGUAGGGCUUUUUUUUUUUUUUUUUCCUUCCCCAGAAAGAGCAAUGCUCCAUGUUGAAACUUGCCAGAGUAUUUUAAGAUUAUUGUCCAUAAAGAAAAUGUACCAAAGAAUUGAGAUGUUCAAAGGAAAGGCAUUAAGGAAAUGCAAGGUAUUAUUGGUAAUGCGCACUAUACAUAGAACAAGAUUUGAAGGCCUUUAAUACUUCAGUCGGUGGAGUUGGGUUUUCUGUCUUGUAUUUAGUGUUUAAAACACACAUGCGCAACCUGCAAACCAAAUGAGUUAACCCUCUGCUGGCUUCCUCUAGACAUUGACCCUGGGGGGCAAACUCUUAGGAAAACGAUGCCUGGUUUUCCAUUCCCCUAAUUCCAGUCUCUACCAACAAGCAAGUCCUAUCUCUGAGUGGAGCUCACAAAGAAUUUCUCAAAUACGUAGCUGGGUUGGGUUGGCAACAAAAUCCUUUGCAAAACGAGAAGAAAGAGUUGUUAACUGAUGAGUCAAUCUAGCUUUUAUAGCAGUUUAUCUUCAUGGUAUUUCUAAGAGCAUAAAUGUUAAAAAAAAAAAAAAUGACGGUCAUGACAGGAAGAACACAGUAGAAAAAAACAGGAACAUUUAAGCCAAAAGCAAUUUACUUUGCCAGUAACUGGUUACAUUUCCUUUGUUUUAUUAUUAUUAUUGCAAGAGUUGGGGUUGAGAUGAAAGUUUCCCACACCUGCGCGGCCCUGACGCAUAACUUGUCAGAACCCACAGUGAAGUAAAUACAUAAAUGAAUGCCUGCAACCCUGAGCUUCUAGACUCUUUAAGAGAGAAAAUCAAAAGCCUGUUUUGCUAUACUGUCUUUUAAAAACAAGACUAUAACCUGUUAAUAUUUAAAGGAGGUUUUCAAAAAGGGAAUAAAACAGGAGUUCCUGCUGUGGCACAGUGAGUUAAGACUCUGACUGCAGCAGGGGUCGCUGCAGAGGCAUGGGAUUGAUCUCUGGCCUGG
RNAcentral lists this long non-coding RNA (4021 nucleotides) under Sus scrofa (pig). RNAcentral's name for it is "lncRNA (ENSSSCG00040042090.1)". The record is from RNAcentral. Lineage: Eukaryota; Metazoa; Chordata; Mammalia; Artiodactyla; Suidae.